UAUACACGUGUGUAUGGCAUACACAAUAUCAUACUAUAAUAGAUAUUUAACUCGAAUAUAAAUAUAAUUACAAUUAUUUUUUUUUUUUUACCAGCUUUAUUACUUGAUCCUACAAAUAAACAUUUAAUCGCUUAGAUUUCUCUACAUUCUAAUAAUCUAUUUCAAUAAUACCGUGUUUUUAGCAAACGAUUAUUAUUUUAAAAUCUACGGCGAUGAUAGGUGCAAUCACAGUGGCGUGUUUUACAGGAGAUUUAAAGAUACAAUUAAUCAUAAUAAUUAUCGAUCAAAUUGGACACCAAAUCUCUGCAGCGAAUUGCUAUAUUCUUGUUACAGCGGUCUUAUCAAAUUAAAAAUUCUAAAUAUGUUACAACAUAACGUAAGUAUCAAAAUUAAAUUAUUAGGGUAUUUUUACAAGAAGAUAUUUUUCGAUAGUAUUAUCAAAUAGAGCGGCCAUUUAUAUUAUGUCGAUUAAUAUGCUUUAUUGAUCGGUUAAUAAAAUAAAAUCGUUAAACUAAAAUGUGUUUUAUGAUUUAAAUAAUUGCAUUUUUGUUUACG
Cinara cedri is the source of this 555-nucleotide non-coding RNA. Lineage: Eukaryota; Metazoa; Arthropoda; Insecta; Hemiptera; Aphididae. The record is from the annotation of a GenBank genome assembly.